Molecule: long non-coding RNA, 332 nt
Filed under: Lupinus angustifolius (narrow-leaved blue lupine)
Lineage: Eukaryota; Viridiplantae; Streptophyta; Magnoliopsida; Fabales; Fabaceae
Description: long non-coding RNA (LANG_LNC003695)
Source: RNAcentral
UUCUGGCCUGCCACAACCCGCUUAGGGCAGGUUUGGGCUAUAAUUUAUUAUGCCUAAGUUAUAUCCUGACUUUAUAGCUGAGUCAGGUUUAACUAGAACUCGAUGUGGGCUGGUCCGAACCCGUUUAGGUAGCUUGACACCUCUUGUGCAUGCAUAGUUUUUAGUUUUUAUGAUGACGUUCACAAGUCAACGUUAGAGCAACCCAGAAAGAGAUUUUGAGAAUUUUAUUUAUUGGAUUAUAUACAAGGUUAAGGAAUGGAUUUCGAGUCCAUCUAUAUCUAUAUUAUAAAUAAAAUCAAAUUAUGGUAUAAAUAUUACUAUGAUGUAGUUUC